UACGGAGGGUGCAAGCGUUAUCCGGAUUUACUGGGUUUAAAGGGUGCGUAGGUGGAUUGGUAAGUCAGUGGUGAAAUCCCCAAGCUUAACUUGGGAACUGCCAUUGAUACUAUUUGUCUUGAAUACCGUGGAGGUGAGCGGAAUAUGUCAUGUAGCGGUGAAAUGCUUAGAUAUGACAUAGAACACCAAUUGCGAAGGCAGCUUGCUACGCGGAUAUUGACACUGAUGCACGAAAGCGUGGGGAUCAAACAGG
Molecule: ribosomal RNA, 253 nt
Filed under: uncultured bacterium
Lineage: Bacteria
Description: partial 16S ribosomal RNA
Rfam family: Bacterial small subunit ribosomal RNA
Source: RNAcentral